RNAcentral lists this ribosomal RNA (440 nucleotides) under uncultured bacterium. RNAcentral describes it as "partial 16S ribosomal RNA". It matches the Rfam family "Bacterial small subunit ribosomal RNA", at positions 338 to 795 of the family's 1533-position model. The record is from RNAcentral.
CCUACGGGAGGCAGCAGUAGGGAAUGUUGCGCAAUGGGCGAAAGCCUGACGCAGCAACACCGCGUGAAUGGUAAGUACUUCGGGGUGUAAAGUUCUGUCAAUAGGGACGAAUUUUGACUGUACCUAUAAAGGAAGCACCGGCUAACUCCGUGCCAGCAGCCGCGGUAAUACGGGGGGUGCAAGCGUUGUCCGGAAUCAUUGGGCGUAAAGCGUUCGUAGGCGGCAAGGUAAGUCUGAUGUUAAAGCCCGGGGCUCAACUCCGGUUCGGCAUUGGAUACUAUCUAGCUAGAAUGUGGUAGAGGUAAAGGGAAUUCCUGGUGUAGCGGUGAAAUGCGUAGAUAUCGCGCAGAACCCCGAUUGCGAAGGCAGCGUACCGGCUCCACACUGACGCUGAGGCACGAAAGCGUGGGUAUCGAACAGGAUUAGAUACCCCUGUAGUC